GACGAACGCUGGCGGCGUGCUUAACACAUGCAAGUCGAACGGAAAGGCCUGCUUUCCCUUGUGGAUUGCGGGUACUCGAGUGGCGAACGGGUGAGUAACACGUGAGUGAUCUGCCCCCAACUUGGGUAUAAGCCUGGGAAACUGGGUCUAAUUCCCGAUAGGACUGCAGGGUGGUGCCUGUGGUGGAAAACGAUUUUCUAGUGGUUGGGGAUGAGCUCGCGGCCUAUCAGCUUGUUGGUGGGGUAAUGGCCUACCAAGGCGGCGACGGGUAGCCGGCCUGAGAGGGUGGACGGCCACAUUGGGACUGAGAUACGGCCCAGACUCCUACGGGAGGCAGCAGUGGGGAAUAUUGCACAAUGGGCGGAAGCCUGAUGCAGCGACGCCGCGUGGGGGAUGACGGCCUUCGGGUUGCAAACUCCUUUCGACCGCGAGGAAGCCACCUGGUUGGAAGGGUGGUGACGGUAGUGGUAGAAGAAGCACCGGCUAACUACGUG
This 494-nucleotide ribosomal RNA is filed under the name uncultured bacterium. RNAcentral's name for it is "partial 16S ribosomal RNA". It matches the Rfam family "Bacterial small subunit ribosomal RNA", at positions 28 to 507 of the family's 1533-position model. The record is from RNAcentral.